RNAcentral lists this ribosomal RNA (301 nucleotides) under uncultured bacterium. RNAcentral's name for it is "partial 16S ribosomal RNA". It matches the Rfam family "Bacterial small subunit ribosomal RNA", at positions 509 to 807 of the family's 1533-position model. The record is from RNAcentral.
CAGUCGCCGCGGUAAUACGAAGGGUGCAAGCGCUAAUCGGAAUUACUGGGCGUAAAGCGUGCGUAGGCGGUGAGUUAAGUCUGCUGUGAAAUCCCCGGGCUCAACCUGGGAAUGGCAGUGGAUACUGGCUCGCUAGAGUGUGUCAGAGGAUGGUGGAAUUCCCGGUGCAGCGGUGAAAUGCGUAGAGAUCGGGAGGAACAUCAGUGGCGAAGGCGGCCAUCUGGGACAACACUGACGCUGAGGCACGAAAGCGUGGGGAGCAAACAGGAUUAGAUACCCGCGUAGUCCCUGUCUCUUAUAC